UUGUGUAUUUAGCGGUCCUGAAUGUUCUUCCAUUUGUUUGUGUUGUAGUCAUGUCAAAUACUGGUGCCAUUUUAGUGUUAUAUUUAACAUUGUCGUACAAGCGGGAGGUUUGUCUGGCUACAAAACUUGCAAGUUCAAACAACCAUUUUUUUCUAAAGAUGUCAGGGAUAUUGCUAUUGUUAUCUGAUAGUUCGUUUCUGUGUGUGUUACAUUGUCGUUUUUUUUAUUUUGUUCCCUUUUUGCGUUUCUGUU
RNAcentral lists this long non-coding RNA (252 nucleotides) under Mytilus galloprovincialis (Mediterranean mussel). Lineage: Eukaryota; Metazoa; Mollusca; Bivalvia; Mytilida; Mytilidae. The record is from RNAcentral.